This 421-nucleotide ribosomal RNA is filed under the name uncultured archaeon. RNAcentral describes it as "partial 16S ribosomal RNA". It matches the Rfam family "Archaeal small subunit ribosomal RNA", at positions 323 to 746 of the family's 1478-position model. The record is from RNAcentral.
CUACGGGCGGCACCAGGCGAGAAAACUUUGCAAUGUGCGAAAGCACGACAAGGUUAAUCCGAGUGGUUUGUGCUAAACGAACCUUUUGACAGUCCUAGAAACACUGUUGAAUAAGGGGUGGGCAAGUUCUGGUGUCAGCCGCCGCGGUAAAACCAGCACCUCAAGUGGUCAGGAUGAUUAUUGGGCCUAAAGCAUCCGUAGCCGGCUCUGUAAGUUUUCGGUUAAAUCUGUACGCUCAACGUACAGGCCGCCGGGAAUACUGCAGAGCUAGGGAGUGGGAGAGGUAGACGGUACUCGGUAGGAAGGGGUAAAAUCCUUUGAUCUAUUGAUGACCACCUGUGGCGAAGGCGGUCUACCAGAACACGUCCGACGGUGAGGGAUGAAAGCUGGGGAGCAAACCGGAUUAGAUACCCCCGUAGUC